AUACGGAGGGUGCAAGCGUUAAUCGGAAUUACUGGGCGUAAAGCGUACGUAGGCGGUUAUUUAAGUCAGAUGUGAAAGCCCCGGGCUUAACUUGGGAACUGCAUUUGAAACUGGGUAACUAGAGUUUAGUAGAGGGGAGUGGAAUUUCAGGUGUAGCGGUGAAAUGCGUAGAGAUCUGAAGGAACACCAGUGGCGAAGGCGACUCCCUGGACUAGAACUGACGCUGAGGUACGAAAGCGUGGGUAGCAAACAGGAUUAGAAACCCUAGUAGUCC
This 274-nucleotide ribosomal RNA is filed under the name uncultured bacterium. RNAcentral describes it as "partial 16S ribosomal RNA". It matches the Rfam family "Bacterial small subunit ribosomal RNA", at positions 523 to 796 of the family's 1533-position model. The record is from RNAcentral.